This 1059-nucleotide ribosomal RNA is filed under the name uncultured bacterium. RNAcentral's name for it is "bacterial SSU rRNA". It matches the Rfam family "Bacterial small subunit ribosomal RNA", at positions 55 to 1099 of the family's 1533-position model. The record is from RNAcentral.
CUGCAGUCGAGCGGCAGCACGGCCAUAGCAAUAUGGUGGGUGGCGAGCGGCGGACGGGUGAGGAACACAUCGGAAUCUACCCUGUCGUGGGGGACAACGUAGGGAAACUUACGCUAAUACCGCAUACGACCUUUGGGUGAAAGCGGGGGACUCGCAAGAGCCUCGCGCGAUUGGAUGAGCCGAUGUCCGAUUAGCUAGUUGGCGGGGUAAUGGCCCACCAAGGCGACGAUCGGUAGCUGGUCUGAGAGGACGACCAGCCACACUGGAACUGAGACACGGUCCAGACUCCUACGGGAGGCAGCAGUGGGGAAUAUUGGACAAUGGGGGCAACCCUGAUCCAGCCAUGCCGCGUGGGUGAAGAAGGCCUUCGGGUUGUAAAGCCCUUUUGUACGGGAAGAAAAGCUUCUGGUUAACAACCGGGAGUCAUGACGGUACCGUAAGAAUAAGCACCGGCUAACUUCGUGCCAGCAGCCGCGGUAAUACGAAGGGUGCAAGCGUUACUCGGAAUUACUGGGCGUAAAGCGUGCGUAGGCGGUGGUUUAAGUCUGAUGUGAAAUCCCCGGGCUCAACCUGGGAAUGGCAUUGGAUACUGGAUCGCUAGAGUACGGUAGAGGGUGGUGGAAUUCCCGGUGUAGCAGUGAAAUGCGUAGAGAUCGGGAGGAACAUCUGUGGCGAAGGCGGCCACCUGGACCAGUACUGACGCUGAGGCACGAAAGCGUGGGGAGCAAACAGGAUUAGAUACCCUGGUAGUCCACGCCCUAAACGAUGCGAACUGGAUGUUGGGGGGAACUUGCCCUUCAGUAUCGAAGCUAACGCGUUAAGUUCGCCGCCUGGGGAGUACGGUCGCAAGACUGAAACUCAAAGGAAUUGACGGGGGCCCGCACAAGCGGUGGAGUAUGUGGUUUAAUUCGAUGCAACGCGAAGAACCUUACCUGGGCCUUGACAUCCACGGAACCCCUGAGAGAUUGGGGGGGUGCCUUCGGGAACCGUGAGACAGGUGCUGCAUGGCUGUCGUCAGCUCGUGUCGUGAGAUGUUGGGUUAAGUCCCGCAACGAGCGC